This 5251-nucleotide long non-coding RNA is filed under the name Homo sapiens (human). RNAcentral describes it as "HSALNT0100693". The record is from RNAcentral. Lineage: Eukaryota; Metazoa; Chordata; Mammalia; Primates; Hominidae.
CUUAAACCCAGGAGGCGGAGGUUGCAGUGAGACGAGAUUGCGCCAUUGCACUCCAGCCUGGGUGGCAGAGUGAGACUCCACCUCAAAAAAAAGAAAAAAGGAAAACCAAGCAAAAGUCACUGUCAGGGGACCUCCCACCCACCAUACAGGGGAACACUCGGCAGAGCCAGAGGCCUGGGCCCAAGUCCUGCCACCAGCUGGCUGUGAAACUGUGGUACAGCACCUUGUGUCCUGCCACCAGCCGGCUGUGAAACUGGUACAGCACCUUGUCCUCAGGUCCUUGGUUUCCUCACUUGUAAAUUCAUGGUUCUCCAUGGCAUCUCUGGUCUUCAACAUUAUUUUGCAUAGAGUCUCAGAAGCUUUAGUGUGAGCGGAUGAUAUGGGCACGAAGCAAGGCACCCAGAAGUGGGGGCAACUACUCUGCUUUCUAAAAUGCAAGGGAACCGGAAAAUCCAGGAGCCGUGCCAAAUGAGAAGAGGAACAAAUGGAGGAACAUCCCAGUCAAGUGACAUUCCUAGUGACAUUCACCAGAACAGAGUCAAGCUUUGGAUCCCAUGUUCUGUGACUUCCUCUUCACCACGCUUCCUCCACACACGUAGCAGCUCAAGGGUUUCUGAUGAGUGGGGUCUAUGUUCCCUUUAUGAGCUGUAACGCACACCAUGAAGGUCUGCGGCUUGGCUAUUGAGUCAGUGAGAGCGUGAACCUACUAUUAGAAGAAAAACUCUGAAUACGUCUGAACGUCAGAAAGAACGAAGUUUGGACACAUUGUCUUUAAGAACUGUAACACUCACCCCAAGGGUUUAUGGAUUCAUUCUUGAAAUCAGUGAAACCAAAAGCUUUCCAAAGUUUAACACACAGGGAAAUGACUUACUGCAAAGAACCACUCUUCCCCACGAGACUUCGAGAAGACCCGCUGUCACGGACUGAGUUGUGUCCUCUUAAAAUUCAGAUGUUGGAGUCCAAACCCCCAGUAACUCAGAGUGUGAACGUAUUUGAAGAGGUCUUUAAAGAGGUGAUGAAGGUCUUUGUCUCUGACAAUUUGCCUCUGUGACGUGGAUGGGACUGGAAGUCCAUUUGGAGCCCUGUCUUCUCCACCUAGGGAGAGAGACCCCAUGAGCUCGUCAAGCUCCUUCUGUGACUGAUCAGAGAUCCCACCGUGAGUCCAGCUCCUGGUCCCAUGCUCUGGAUAUAUCGGUCCCUGGCAGCGUGCAGUCUUCUUUCCACCAAUGACCCCUCGCGCUGCUUCCAGAAGCCAAGAAAGUGGGCUUUGUCCUUGGGGAUUUAGGAGGCGGAGCGGCGCCCCCUUGAGGCCACAUGGUGGAGGCAGCGAUGAGACCUGGAGUCUAAAAUUCAGACUGAAUCACAGGAAGAAGCUAUUUACACAAGUCAAACAUGGUCCAAUCUUGGCAAUUUCAUAAGGUUCCAAUCCUUAAGGGAUCAAAACCUGGCCAACUGCUUCCACCGAGAGGUGUGCCUUUCAAUGCCAGGCUUGGAGUGUCCCUCUUUAUUUAAAAAGGAGAGGAUUCCACAGCAGAGCUUCUCAAACUCUUCCACCCAAAUCCCCUCACCACAGAGGGACAGGAGUCCUGGGCAUGUAGCCUAAAGCAGCCAGGAGAAAAAAACCUUGACCUUAAUUUUUUUAAUGAUUUCACAUGAAUCAGUGGAAUGUGUUUAUGAUAAAAUCAUCUCCUCCUGAAAUACAUGUGUAAAACUGCUGCCCCAGUUAAACGCACUUAGUCUAACCAAGCCCUAGGAUUGGCCUCUCCAGCAUGAGAAGCAUUUCCAGCACUCCAGCUCCCCAGCUCCCACUCUGGGAUCCCACCUCAGACCCUCCCACUUCCUUGCACUCUGGCCUCUCGCUCUUGACCCUGCUCCCGCCACGCUCUUUCCUCAGAGUCCAUCAGUCCUGUCUUGUCUUCACCUUGGUCUCUGCCAAGUGUGGGUCCAAGUCAUAUAUUUGGGCUGUGAUCACAGGAACCCCAAGCCCCAGACCUCCCAAAGCACCCUAUGGAGAGACCUUACCCUCCUGGACAGACCCUCUCCCCCCAGCUAGACCUCAUCCUCUGGGUAGACCCAUCUCCCCAACCAGAACUCACCCUCCUGAGUAAACCCCAUCCCCCUAGCUAGACUUCAUCCUCCUGGACAGAUCCCAUCCCCCCAGCUAGACCUCACCCUCUUGGGUAGAUGCAUCUCCCCAACCAGAACUCUCCUGGGUAGACCCCUUCUACCCAGCUAGACCUGAUCCUCUGGACAGACCCCAUCAUCCCAGCUAGACUUCUCCCUCCUGGACUGUCCCCAUCCCCCCUCCAGCCAGACCUCACCCCUCUGGGUAGACCCCAUCCCCCCAACUAGACCUCACCCUCCUGGAUGGACUCUACCCUCCUGGAGAUACCUUCCCCUCCUGGGUACAUCCCACGUGGCUACACACUCCUUCCCCUGUCAGCUUUCUCCCCCAGGGUUCUGGGCAGCAGAGUCUGUGAUAAAGGAUACUAAGUGAUUCCCCAAUACUUCCCGUUUCCAGCCUCCAGUGGGCUCUCCCUGGGGCUAACGGUUCUUUUUGCUAUUUCUCCAGGCUUUGCCUGAUGACAAGUAUACUCUGAGAGUGUCCUAAUGAUACAGAUUUUGGACCCUAUCCCAGUUCUACUGAAUCCAAGUCUCUGGGGGAGGAGUUGGGGCUCUGCAUCUGGACACCUUCCUGCAGGGUCCCUCCUGGGAGGCAAGCCCGGGGAGCACCGCUGAGGCUCGCCUCAGUGCCCAUCCUAGACCUUCAGCAGCUAGCAGAGGAUGUCCCCACCAUCCCUCAGCCCACACUCCCACUGUCGCCCCAGCCAGGCUUGGCACUGCCUCCUUUCUCAGAAGAUUAAGACCAUCUGCUGUUUCCCAAGUUUCCCACCCUCCACCCUAAAAAUUUCUCCGUUUCCCAGUCUUUCCUCGUCUCUCAGAAAAUAAACAUCUUCCCAGGCUGCCUCCCCAGUGGGUCUGCACUCCUUGCUGUCUUCCCAGCACCUGCCCUUCCAGCCCGCCCUCUGUGUGUCCAGUGUUUCCCUCACCAAAGGACUCGCUUUGUUUUUCAAAUUGGAGGUUUUGUCUUCUCCCUAAAAACCAAAACAUCUCCCUGAGAAGUAACUCCCUCAAGCUACUGAUACGGAAGGGGGGCGGGGAAGUGCUGGGAAGGGAAGGGUGUGGUCCCUGGCUAGGGCUCCACCCCCGGGCCUGUGCCCACAGACCUAGGUGAGGACAGGCAUUUCUGUUUUCGUGCUUAAAUGUUGGAUUUCCCAAGACUACCCUGGCCUACCACACCCUCAUUCUGUGCCUGUAAAAAAACCUGAGAGCUUAGCAGGCACGCACACAAGCCUCUGGACGUCAAGAGGAACACACCGGUGUAAGAGCAGACUGAUAGUGGCCCACGGCAGGCUGGCAGGCCAUCGACAGGCAGAACCACUCAGUGCAGCUGGAGGACAGCCUGGCCACGGAGCGGUCCGACUUCAGAGGGGAAAACCACCUCCCCACUCCGUCUCCCUUCUGGCUCCCCCAUCUGAGAGCUACUUCCACUCAAUAAAACCUUGCACUCAUUCUCCAAGCCCAUGUGUGAUCUGAUUCUUUUGGUGCACGGAGGCAAGAAACCUCAGGAUACAGAAAGCCUCUGUCCUUGGAAUAAGGCAGGAGGUCUAACAGCUGACUAGGGAUGGCUCAACUGAAACAGCAUCCUGUAACACAGGCCCAUUGGGACCUCAGGAGCUGUAAACAUUCACCCUUAGACAUUGCUGUGGGGUUGGAGCCCCACCACCUGCCCAUCUGCAUGCUCCCCCUACAGGUUUGAGCAGCGGGGCACAGAAGAAGCCAGCCACACCUCCAUCGCAAGCCCUGCCACGGGGAUAAGGGAACUUUUCCCGUUUUGCCACCAGCUCAAGCCCCGCCUUCCUGUCACUCCACACUCUUCAUCUCUGUGUAUGGGUGUGGUCUUCCUCAGUUCCUUCUCUGGCCUCACACAGUGCCCUGAAUAAUGCUUUGCAAGGCCUUUGCCAGGAGCCUAGGUGAAAGGCAGAAGAGGUGCCCCUGCAGCAUCGCAAGGUAGAGAUCGUGGUUACAAGAUGGGGACUAGACUCCCAGUUUGCCCUUGGACUGGGCAGCCCCUUGGAUUUUGUUUUCCCUGACGUUGCUGUUCUGAUCCAAGGCCUUGUGGCCUCGCUACAGACACCCAAGGCCAGGCCUAUCUUUGCAUGAAUAACUAAAGAAAGCCUAGAGGAUGAGUAAAAUGACCACACUGUAUGGCUUUGGAGGACUGGAAGUUACUGAGGACUAUGAGUGGGUUUUUUGCAUAGACUGCAGUAAAGGUCCUCAGAAAAGACCCUCAAGAGCUAUGGGGGGGUCUGGUCAAAUGCCACUUCUAGACUGGACUCCAAAACUGGUGCUGAUUAUUUUCACUCCUACCCCACCCACCAGCCUGAUAGGCGAUUCCUGAAGUAGCAGUGGGGCGCUCAGUGGUGCUCACCAGGCCCAGAGCUCAGUCCUUCCCCCAUUCUGCCUGAUGGGGCUUGUGUAACCAAGGAUGACAGAUGGGACAAUCCCUGUUGGUAAAGACUGAGUUGAUUCUGACCAGGACCAGAGAUAAAACCCAGCACCUUUAUCUUUCCCCUUUGUACCUUCUUCAGAAAGACCUUCUUCUGCAGCAGUUCUGGAACUGUGAUCUGUGAGGUGUGGUUGCAAGAAUUCUUUAUUUUUUUAUUUUAUUUUUUUCAGACAAAGUCUCACUCUGUCGCCCAGGCUGGAGUGCAAUGGUGCGAUCUCGGCCCACUGCAACCUCCGCCUCCCAGGUUCAAAUGAUUCUCCUGCCUCAGCCUCCUGAGUAGCUGGGAUUACAAGCAUGUGCCUCCACGUCCAGCUAAUUUUUGUAUUUUUAGCAGAGACGGGGUUUCAUCAUGUUGGUCAGGCUAGUCUCAAACUCUUGACCUCAUGAUACACCUGCCUUGGCCUCCUGAAGUGCUGGGAUUACAGGCGUAAGCCACCACGCCUGGCCUGGCAAGAAUUCUUUUAUAAAGAAUUCUAGGUCUAUUAAACCCAGAUUCUUCAACUAGAACAGGCACACAGGAAAAAGGUUCACUAAAAACCCUGUUCUCUUGCCUCAUUUUGGUGAUUUCCAGCUAGGCUGUUGGGAUAGGCAUAUGUAAGUGUCACUUCCAUCUUUUCAUAGGUAUCUCACAGAAUCUCUGACCAAUGGAGAGCUAAUCAAAGACAAGUUUAAUAGGUGAAG